GUGUGACCCCAGCAUGCAAAGCUGCUACCUUCACCAGACGGUGCAGGAAAUCAGAAACACACCAGGCCAAGGCAGUUCUGAAUCCGUAGUGGAGCAAGUCAGAACACCUCUCAAAGUCACUCACACGUACGCCACAGCCUGUGUCAACAAGAGACACCGUAGGAGCCCUAACGCUGCAGGAUGGAGAAAGGUGAACAGGAAACAGAAGGUGCCCAUGGAGGAGGUAUAUGACAUCUGUCAGGAUCCAGGGUGGGCGGGGGAUUCAGCGCCCCCCUUCUGCCGGCCGAGGGUCACCCAUCGCACUGCAGUCGCUGAAGUUGUCACGACACCGUGACACUUCCUUGGCAAUGGUGGCUGAGAGCCGGACAGCCCUCGGACGUUCAAG
Oreochromis aureus is the source of this 385-nucleotide long non-coding RNA. The record is from Ensembl. NCBI's taxonomy places the organism in Eukaryota, Metazoa, Chordata, Actinopteri, Cichliformes, Cichlidae.